RNAcentral lists this ribosomal RNA (242 nucleotides) under uncultured bacterium. Its description in RNAcentral is "partial 16S ribosomal RNA". It matches the Rfam family "Bacterial small subunit ribosomal RNA", at positions 89 to 334 of the family's 1533-position model. The record is from RNAcentral.
UGACGAGUGGCGGACGGGUGAGUAAUGUCUGGGAAACUGCCCGAUAGAGGGGGAUAACUACUGGAAACGGUAGCUAAUACCGCAUAACCUCGCAAGAGCAAAGUGGGGGACCUUCGGGCCUCACGCUAUCGGAUGUGCCCAGAUGGGAUUAGCUUGCUGGUAGGGUAAUGGCCUACCAGGGCGACGAUCCCUAGCUGGUCUGAGAGGAUGACCAGCCACACUGGAACUGAGACACGGUCCAG